CCCAAAAAACGUCAAAAAAUUUUUAAACGCACCGGGCGUUUAUACGAAGCAUUACGGUAUAUGUAUUUCUAUUUAACACAUUUUUUGUUUUAUUUAUUUAGCUUUCACAUAAAAGCCUUGCUGACGGUGUUACAAAAGGUAAGGCACCCUUUUUUUUAUCUUUUUAUCUUCAUAUAUAUAUAUCUCAUAUAUAUAUGAGACAUAUAUGGGACAUAUAUAUAUGAGACCGUUCGCUUCAUCUCGUCCCCAGGGCUUAUUGUCAGAAAGACAAAGAAGACCUGAGUACAAGGUUGUAAUGUUAUAGCAAUGUCAUACUAAAUAAUAUAGAACAUAUUUGUUUAGGCUGCAGAGGUGCUGAUAACAAUCCUAAUGGAUACCCUGGUCAAAUCCCGACAAACACAAUAACAGGUUCUUGUAGAAAAUCUGAUCAAUAUGGCGGAUAUUAUUUUUUGAUCACAUGGGGUCAACCAAUUGAUGCAAAAACUAAACCAGCCAGCGGUUAUCAAGUAUCAUUUGAUUAUGGUUCGUCCUCCUUUAUCUGUUUCCAAGUGAAAAACAACACAAAUCAGUUUAUUUUUACAAAGAAGAGAGGUUUCGUGGAAGGUCAAAUUUAUGAUUUAGCGAUUAUUCCUCGUCCCACACCAUACGCGCUUUCAACAAAGAUGGUCCGCAUCGGUAAAUGCCC
Molecule: long non-coding RNA, 685 nt
Organism: Hydractinia symbiolongicarpus
Lineage: Eukaryota; Metazoa; Cnidaria; Hydrozoa; Anthoathecata; Hydractiniidae
Exons: 4
Source: RefSeq, a predicted model, not a curated record